This 119-nucleotide ribosomal RNA is filed under the name Neotoma lepida (desert woodrat). Lineage: Eukaryota; Metazoa; Chordata; Mammalia; Rodentia; Cricetidae. The record is from RNAcentral.
GUCUACUGUCAUACCACCUUGAACGCACCCAGUUGCAUCUGAUCUUGGAAGCUAAGCAGGGUCAGGNGUGGCUAGUACUUGGAUGGGAGACUGCCUGGGAAUAUCAGGUGCUGUAGGCU